This 887-nucleotide long non-coding RNA is filed under the name Homo sapiens (human). RNAcentral's name for it is "HSALNT0385518". Lineage: Eukaryota; Metazoa; Chordata; Mammalia; Primates; Hominidae. The record is from RNAcentral.
AGUUGGGGCCUGAUGGGAGGUGUUUGAAUCAUGGGGAUGGAUUUCUCAUGGCUGCGUGCUGUCCAUGUCAUGGACCCUUGCUCCACAGAAUUCUUUGCCUGGAAUUUUCUUCCCAGAAUCUUUGCAUGUCAUUCCCUCUGUUGCUGAGUUACCGGGAUCUCAAUGUAAACGUUACGUACUGACAGAGGCUGCUGUGAACUGAAUUGCGUGCUUCCCAAAAUUCAUAUGUUGAUACUGUCACCCCCGGUACCUAAGGAUGUGACUACAUUUGGAGAUAGCAUCAUCAAAGAGGCAUGGAAUCCCAGGGAGCAUCCUGCACUCUCAGUGUCCAGCUGUCUGAGGCCACACUUGUUUCUGAUGAUAGAGAACAAUUGCUUUUUUCUGAGAGACUUAGCACUCCAUGGCUGAGGAGUUCUGCAAUAAAAUGCCUGCUUUCUCCACCAGAUGGUAUUCACAAAAAUAGCUCACAUUAUGUUUUGCUUGUUUGCAAGUCAACAAGAUGAGGUCACCGAAAAGGUCUAACUGAUUCUGUCUGCUCAGGAAUGUUUCAGGCUUGGUCUCCCUUUUAAUUUACCUCGUAAAUCAUUUUGUAAUUUUUAUCUCCUACCCAUUCUGUAACUUGUUAAUUACUUUUAUACACAUGUAAUAUCUUUUAUGUGUGAUUUCUAAGUAUAUUACUAGUGAACAUUGACUGUUACAAGGCAUACCUUGUCUUAUUGCAAUUUAUUGUGCUUCCCAAGUGUUGGAUUUCUUACAAAUUGAGGGGUUUUGGCAACCUUACCUUCAGUGACUCUGUCAACAAUAUUUUUUCCAACACCAUGUGAUCUGUGUGUGUGUGUGUAUCUUUGUCAGCAUUUUUAUCAAUAAAGUACAUUUUUUAUUAAGGU